GGAUCGUGGCUCAGUGGUAGAGUGCUUGCCUAGAAUGUGUGAGGCACUGGGUUCAAGUCUCAGCACCA
This 68-nucleotide transfer RNA is filed under the name Marmota monax (woodchuck). Its description in RNAcentral is "tRNA.Ser". Lineage: Eukaryota; Metazoa; Chordata; Mammalia; Rodentia; Sciuridae. The record is from RNAcentral.